AUACUUACCUGGCAGGGGAGAUGCCAUGAUCAUGGAGGAGGUUCUCCCAGGGCGAGGCGUGUCCAUUGCACUCCGGAUGUGCUGACCCCCGCAAUCUCCCCGAAUGUGGGAAACCUGACUGCAUAACUUGUGGCAGUGGGGGCUGUGUUCACACUUUCCCCUG
This 163-nucleotide small nuclear RNA is filed under the name Propithecus coquereli (Coquerel's sifaka). RNAcentral describes it as "U1 spliceosomal RNA (ENSPCOG00000000114.1)". It matches the Rfam family "U1 spliceosomal RNA". From Rfam's summary of the family: U1 is a small nuclear RNA (snRNA) component of the spliceosome (involved in pre-mRNA splicing). Its 5' end forms complementary base pairs with the 5' splice junction, thus defining the 5' donor site of an intron. The record is from Rfam by way of RNAcentral. Lineage: Eukaryota; Metazoa; Chordata; Mammalia; Primates; Indriidae.